GUCUAUGGCCAUACCACCCUGAAUGUGCCCCAUCUCAUCUGAUCUUGGAAGCUAAGUAGGGUUGGGCUUGGUUAGUACUUGGAUGGGAGAAUAGUCUCACUCAAACACGCUGAUGGCAUUGGCU
RNAcentral lists this ribosomal RNA (124 nucleotides) under Prolemur simus (greater bamboo lemur). Lineage: Eukaryota; Metazoa; Chordata; Mammalia; Primates; Lemuridae. The record is from RNAcentral.